This 27-nucleotide non-coding RNA is filed under the name Homo sapiens (human). Lineage: Eukaryota; Metazoa; Chordata; Mammalia; Primates; Hominidae. The record is from RNAcentral.
AGGGAAUGUCACUAGUGCAUCUGGGUC